AAACCCUCUCUCUCUAUCUACAAGUGUAUGCAUCCGCUACUCUCUUUCUACCCCCUCUCUCCCAACAUCUCUCUGCUUGCAAAAGGAAGCCAUUGAUGACCUUUGAUCUCAAUCUUCUCAAAAACUCUCCAUGUUUUUUUAUAGAUUUCAUCAAAGAUAGGGUACCUUCAAUCCCUUGCAUAAUCCCCUGCAAAAACCCAUGAACUUUGCCCCUAACUCAAUCCAACUACACCCGGGCUCUUUCCUUAACUCCAUUUGCUUCAUAUGGGCUCUCACUCUCCCCACUUCUUCCCAUCUUCCUGAUCUUGUCUGGUCACUUCUAAAAGUUUUUCACACCCCUCAAUACAAGACUGGGUAUUGCCAACAGUGAUCAGACAAGGUUCAAUGGCUGUCUCACCUGGGGUUGAAGCCAGGGAGGUACACCGGCAAGGAAGAGAGCAUGCAGAGAGAAGACAUAAAGAUGCUGGUUAAGAAAUGGUGGGAUGUCUACAAAACAAACGAAUAAUAAAGCAAGAAAUUGGACUCCAUGGAAACGAAAAAGCAGAGAGAGAGAGAGAGUAAUGAGUAGCGUGUCUCUGUGAAAUUUGAAAGAUGGGUUCUUCGGCUGAGACUGGGAUGGGAUCCCCCAUUCGGAAACAGAAAGACUUUUUUGGCGAUCAGAAGAAGCGCGUCAGAAAGCCCCUCAUACCAAUCGGUGCACUUUUAACUGCAGGGAUUCUUACUGUGGGCUUAAUCAGAUUCAGGCAACGAAAUUCUCAGUUGGUUCAGAAACUUAUGGGAGCUCGUGUGGUUGUCCAAGUAGCCACCGUUGCACUGAUGUCGGUACUGCUUAUUACUGUGGGGAAAAUUUACAGUGGGAUUUUAACUUCUCCUGGGAUAUGAUAAUGCUGUAAUGAAUCUAAAAUUAUUCUUGUUAGUUUUUUCUCUUCAUUGAAUCAGGAAAUGAUACCUACGUUA
Molecule: long non-coding RNA, 957 nt
Organism: Amborella trichopoda
Lineage: Eukaryota; Viridiplantae; Streptophyta; Magnoliopsida; Amborellales; Amborellaceae
Source: RefSeq, a predicted model, not a curated record